This 275-nucleotide ribosomal RNA is filed under the name uncultured bacterium. RNAcentral's name for it is "partial 16S ribosomal RNA". It matches the Rfam family "Bacterial small subunit ribosomal RNA", at positions 338 to 630 of the family's 1533-position model. The record is from RNAcentral.
CCUACGGGUGGCUGCAGUUGGGAAUCUUGGACAAUGGGGGAAACCCUGAUCCAGCCAUGCCGCGUGAGUGAUGAAGGCCUUCGGGUUGUAAAACUCUUUCGCGCACGACGAUAAUGACGGUAGUGCGAGAAGAAGCUCCGGCUAACUUCGUGCCAGCAGCCGCGGUAAUACGAAGGGGGCUAGCGUUGUUCGGAAUUACUGGGCGUAAAGCGCGCGCAGGCGGCUAUCCAAGUCAGUGGUGAAAGCCCGGAGCUCAACUCCGGAACUGCCAUUGA